Molecule: ribosomal RNA, 253 nt
Filed under: uncultured bacterium
Lineage: Bacteria
Description: partial 16S ribosomal RNA
Rfam family: Bacterial small subunit ribosomal RNA
Source: RNAcentral
UACGAAGGGUGCAAGCGUUACUCGGAAUUACUGGGCGUAAAGCGUGCGCAGGCGGUUCGCUGUGUCCUGUGUGAAAGCCCCGGGCUUAACCUGGGAAUGGCAUGGGAAACUGGCGGGCUGGAGUGUGGCAGAGGGGGGUGGAAUUCCGCGUGUAGCAGUGAAAUGCGUAGAGAUGCGGAGGAACACCGAUGGCGAAGGCAGCCCCCUGGGCUAACACUGACGCUCAGGCACGAAAGCGUGGGGAGCAAACAGG